CCUACGGGAGGCAGCAGUAGGGAAUCUUCCACAAUGGGCGAAAGCCUGAUGGCGCAACGCCGCGUGGGUGCAGAAGGUCUUCGGAUCGUAAAACCCUGUUGUUAGAGAAGAAAGUGCGUGAGAGUAACUGUUCACGUUUCGACGGUAUCUAACCAGAACGCCACGGCUAACUACGUGCCAGCCGCCGCGGUAAUACGUAGGAGGCAAGCGUUAUCCGGAUUUAUUGGGCGUAAAGGGAACGCAGGCGGUCUUUUAAGUCUGAUGUGAAAACCUUCGGCUUAACCGGAGUAGUGCAUUGGAAACUGGGAGACUUGAGUGCAGAAGAGGAGGGUGGAAGUCCAUGUGUAGCGGUGAAAUGCGUAGAUAUAUGGAAGAACACCAGUGGCGAAAGCGGCUCUCUGGUCUGUAACUGACGCUGAGGUUCGAAAGCGUGGGUAGCAAACAGGAUUAGAUACCCCUGUAGUC
Molecule: ribosomal RNA, 465 nt
Filed under: uncultured bacterium
Lineage: Bacteria
Description: partial 16S ribosomal RNA
Rfam family: Bacterial small subunit ribosomal RNA
Source: RNAcentral